GACGAACGCUGGCGGCGUGCUUAACACAUGCAAGUCGAACGGAAAGGCCCUGCUUUUGUGGGGUGCUCGAGCGGCGAACGGGUGAGUAACACGUGAGUAACCUGCCCUUGACUUUGGGAUAACUUCAGGAAACUGGGGCUCAUACCGGAUAGGAGCUCCUGCUGCAUGGUGGGGGUUGGAAAGUUUCGGCGGUUGGGGAUGGACUCGCGGCUUAUCAGCUUGUUGGUGGGGUAGUGGCUUACCAAGGCUUUGACGGGUAGCCGGCCUGAGAGGGUGACCGGCCACAUUGGGACUGAGAUACGGCCCAGACUCCUACGGGAGGCAGCAGUGGGGAAUAUUGCACAAUGGGCGGAAGCCUGAUGCAGCAACGCCGCGUGCGGGAUGACGGCCUUCGGGUUGUAAACCGCUUUCGCCUGUGACGAAGCGUGAGUGACGGUAAUGGGUAAAGAAGCACCGGCUAACUACGUG
Molecule: ribosomal RNA, 468 nt
Filed under: uncultured bacterium
Lineage: Bacteria
Description: partial 16S ribosomal RNA
Rfam family: Bacterial small subunit ribosomal RNA
Source: RNAcentral